UCAGGACGAACGCUGGCGGCAUGCUUCAUACGUGCAAGUCGAACGAUAAGGUCUCUUCGGAGAUACAUAAGUGGCGGACGGGUGAGUAAUAUGUAGGAAAUCUGCCCUUGAGAGGGGGACAACAGAGGGAAACUUCUGCUAAUACCCCAUAUGAGCGUACCUGAAAUGGUAUUCUUGAAAAACUCCGGUGCUCAAGGAUGAGCCUGCAUCUGAUUAGCUAGUUGGCGGUGUAAUGGACCACCAAGGCGACGAUCAGUAGCUGGUUUGAGAGGAUGAUCAGCCACAAUGGGACUGAGACACGGCCCAUACUCCUACGGGAGGCAGCAGUAGGGAAUUUUGCGCAAUGGGCGAAAGCCUGAACCGCAGCAAUGCCGCGUGAACGUAGAAGCCCUUCGGGGUGUAAAGUUCUGUCAGUGGGGACGAAUAAUGACGGUACCCACAGAGGAAGCACCGGCUAACUCCGUGCCAGCCGCUGC
Molecule: ribosomal RNA, 476 nt
Filed under: uncultured bacterium
Lineage: Bacteria
Description: bacterial SSU rRNA
Rfam family: Bacterial small subunit ribosomal RNA
Source: RNAcentral